GUGUAAGUUGUUGAGAGCGUAUGGUGGAUGCCUUGGCAUCAGGAGCCGAUGAAGGACGUGGGAAUCUGCGAUAAGCCUGGGGGAGUUGAUAACCGGACGGUGAUCCCAGGAUGUCCGAAUGGGGGAACCCCGCAUGCUGUGAGGUGUGUGACCUGACACUGAAUAUAUAGGUGUUAUGGGGGGAACGAGGGGAAGUGAAACAUCUCAGUACCCUUAGGAAGAGAAAACAAUAGUGAUUCCGUUAGUAGUGGCGAGCGAACGCGGAUGGGGCUAAACCUGUAUCGUGUGAUACCCGGCAGGGGUUGCGGUGCGGGGGUUGUGGGUGUAUGUGUCCAGUUACUGCCGUGGCUGGCUGGUGAGGUGCGGGCGUGGAGACGAAGCAGUGUGAGUGCUGCACCGUAGAGGGUGUGAGUCCCGUAGUCGUAUUAUGUUCCGCCGCUAGAUCGUAUGACCCGAGUAGCACGGGGCUCGUGGAAUCUCGUGUGAAUCUGCCAGGACCACCUGGUAAGCCUGAAUACUACCUGAUGACCGAUAGCGGAUCAGUACCGUGAGGGAAUGGUGAAAAGUACCCCGGGAGGGGAGUGAAAUAGUGCCUGAAACCAUGCGCUUACAAACCGUCAAAGCCCUUUAGGGGUGAUGGCGUGCCUUUUGAAGAAUGAGCCUGCGAGUUAGUGCUGUGUCGCGAGGUUAACCCGUGUGGGGUAGUCGUAGCGAAAGCGAGUCUGAAGAGGGCGUUUCAGUGGCACGGUCUAGACCCGAAGCGGGGUGAUCUACCCAUGGCCAGGUUGAAGCGUGUGUAAGAGCACGUGGAGGACCGAACCCACCUAGGUUGAAAACUGGGGGGAUGAGCUGUGGGUAGGGGUGAAAGGCCAAUCAAACUCCGUGAUAGCUGGUUCUCCCCGAAAUGCAUUUAGGUGCAGCGUUACGUGUUUCUUUACCGUGGUAGAGCUACUGGAUGGCUGAUGGGCCCUACAAGGUUACUGACGUCAACCAAACUCCGAAUGCGGUGAAGUGAGAGCGUAGCAGUGAGACUGUGAGGGAUAAGCUUCAUGAGUCGAGAGGGAAACAGCCCAGAACAUCAGCUAAGGCCCCUAAGCGUGUGCUAAGUGGGAAAGGAUGUGGAGUUGCUGAGACAACCAGGAGGUUGGCUUAGAAGCAGCCACCCUUGAAAGAGUGCGUAAUAGCUCACUGGUCAAGUGAUUCCGCGCCGACAAUGUAGCGGGGCUCAAGUACACCGCCGAAGCUGUGUCACUCCAUACUUUUGUGUGGGGUGGGUAGGGGAGCGUCGGGCAUGUGGUGAAGCCUGGGUGGAAACCAUCAGGUGGAGCGUGUUCGAGUGAGAAUGCAGGCAUGAGUAGCGAAUGGCGGGUGAGAAACCCGUCCGCCGAAUGAUCAAGGGUUCCAGGGUCAAGUUUUUCUUCCCUGGGUGAGUCGGGACCUAAGGCGAGGCCGACAGGCGUAGUCGAUGGACAACGGGUUGAUAUUCCCGUACCGGCGAAGAACCGUCCAUAUCGAAGCGAUGAUGCUAACCACCCCAACCACACCAGACCAGCCACUUUGUGGCUAGAUGGUGUGUGCGGCGUGGGACCCGAUUCGUGGAGGUAAACGUAGUAACAGGUGUGACGCAGAGAGGUAGCCGGGCCAGGCAAUGGAAUCGACCUGGUCUAAGAGUGUAGGCCGGUGUAUAGGCAAAUCCGUACACCAUAAUGGCUGAGACUUGAUGGGCGCCCACUAUGGGUGGGUGAUCCGGUGAUCCUGUACUGCCGAGAAAAGCAUCGACGUGAGGUUCUAGCUGCCCGUACCCGAAACCGACACAGGUGAUCUGGUAGAGAAUACCGAGGCGAUCGAGAGAAUCAUGGUUAAGGAACUCGGCAAAAUGCCCCCGUAACUUCGGAAGAAGGGGGGCCUGCCUCGUGACCCCCACAUGCUGGGGUGAGCGGGUGUGGGCCGCAGAGACCAGAGGGAAGCGACUGUUUACUAAAAACACAGGUCCGUGCGAAGUCGCAAGACGAUGUAUACGGACUGACUCCUGCCCGGUGCUGGAAGGUUAAGAGGACCUGUUAGAACAUUCGUGUUCGAAGCGGAGAAUUUAAGCCCCAGUAAACGGCGGUGGUAACUAUAACCAUCCUAAGGUAGCGAAAUUCCUUGUCGGGUAAGUUCCGACCUGCACGAAUGGAGCAACGACUUCCCUGCUGUCUCAACCAUGAACUCGGCGAAAUUGCAGUACGAGUAAAGAUGCUCGUUACGCGCAGAAGGACGGAAAGACCCCGUGACCUUUACUAUAGUUUGGUAUUGGUGUUCGGUGCGGUUUGUGUAGGAUAGGUGGGAGACUGUGAAGCAGCCACGCCAGUGGUUGUGGAGUCAUUGUUGAAAUACCACUCUGAUCGUAUCGGAUGUCUAACCUCGGCCCGUGAUCCGGGUCAGGGACAGUGCCUGAUGGGUAGUUUAACUGGGGCGGUUGCCUCCUAAAUGGUAACGGAGGCGCCCAAAGGUUCCCUCAGCCUGGUUGGCAAUCAGGUGUCGAGUGUAAGUGCACAAGGGAGCUUGACUGCGAGACUGACAGGUCAAGCAGGGACGAAAGUCGGGACUAGUGAUCCGGCAGUGGCUUGUGGAAGCGCUGUCGCUCAACGGAUAAAAGGUACCUCGGGGAUAACAGGCUGAUCUUGCCCAAGAGUCCAUAUCGACGGCAUGGUUUGGCACCUCGAUGUCGGCUCGUCGCAUCCUGGGGCUGGAGUCGGUCCCAAGGGUUGGGCUGUUCGCCCAUUAAAGCGGCACGCGAGCUGGGUUUAGAACGUCGUGAGACAGUUCGGUCCCUAUCCUCUGCGCGCGUAGGAAAUGUGAGAAGGGCUGUCCCUAGUACGAGAGGACCGGGACGGACGAACCUCUGGUAUGUCAGUUGUACCGCCAGGUGCACCGCUGAUUAGCUACGUUCGGGAAGGAUAACCGCUGAAAGCAUCUAAGCGGGAAGCCUGCUUCAAGAUAACAUUUCCAACCAAACAUUGCUUUGGGAGAGGCCCCCAGCUAGACCACUGGGUUGAUAGGCAGGAAGUGUACGCACGGACCAUAGACGUGUUCAGCUGACCUGUACUAAUAGGCCGAUCACUUACACAC
Molecule: ribosomal RNA, 3111 nt
Filed under: Pseudoglutamicibacter albus
Lineage: Bacteria; Bacillati; Actinomycetota; Actinomycetes; Micrococcales; Micrococcaceae
Description: 23S ribosomal RNA
Rfam family: Bacterial large subunit ribosomal RNA
Source: RNAcentral